Molecule: ribosomal RNA, 423 nt
Filed under: Triticum aestivum (bread wheat)
Lineage: Eukaryota; Viridiplantae; Streptophyta; Magnoliopsida; Poales; Poaceae
Description: partial small subunit ribosomal RNA
Source: RNAcentral
AUGCAGCCGCCACCUAGGUAUUAUGUUCCUAGUGGUAUGACAUGUCAUCUUCGUUGCUCUCUAUAUGGUUCUAAGCAAGUCCCUCAUGCCUGGUUUGAGCAUUUCUACUCAGUGGUGACUGCGGCUGGUUUUUCAGCGAGUGCUCAUGAUCCUGCGCUUUUUGUCCACCUUUCAACUCAUGGGCGAACUCUUUUUCUGUAUGUUGAUGGCAUGAUCAUCACUGGCGACGACUCUGAGUGCAUUGCCUUUGUGAAGGCAUGUCUUAGUGAGCAUUUUCUUCUGUAUGAUCUUGGUCCUCUUUGCUAUUUUCUUGGGAUUGAGGUUUCUUCUAUCUCUGAUGACUUCUUUAUUUCCCAAAAGAAUUAUAUCCAUGAUCUUCUUGCUCGUGUUGCCCUUACUGAUGAGCACACAACACACUGUUGA